Molecule: ribosomal RNA, 497 nt
Filed under: uncultured bacterium
Lineage: Bacteria
Description: partial 16S ribosomal RNA
Rfam family: Bacterial small subunit ribosomal RNA
Source: RNAcentral
GAUGAACGCUGGCGGCGUGCCUAAUACAUGCAAGUCGAGCGAACGGACGAGAAGCUUGCUUCUCUGAUGUUAGCGGCGGACGGGUGAGUAACACGUGGAUAACCUACCUAUAAGACUGGGAUAACUUCGGGAAACCGGAGCUAAUACCGGAUAAUAUUUUGAACCGCAUGGUUCAAAGGUGAAAGACGGUCUUGCUGUCACUUAUAGAUGGAUCCGCGCUGCAUUAGCUAGUUGGUAAGGUAACGGCUUACCAAGGCAACGAUGCAUAGCCGACCUGAGAGGGUGAUCGGCCACACUGGAACUGAGCCACGGUCCAGACUCCUACGGGAGGCAGCAGUAGGGAAUCUUCCGCAAUGGGCGAAAGCCUGACGGAGCAACGCCGCGUGAGUGAUGAAGGUCUUCGGAUCGUAAAACUCUGUUAUUAGGGAAGAACAUAUGUGUAAGUAACUGUGCACAUCUUGACGGUACCUAAUCAGAAAGCCACGGCUAACUACGUG